RNAcentral lists this ribosomal RNA (484 nucleotides) under uncultured bacterium. RNAcentral's name for it is "partial 16S ribosomal RNA". It matches the Rfam family "Bacterial small subunit ribosomal RNA", at positions 30 to 507 of the family's 1533-position model. The record is from RNAcentral.
AUUGAACGCUGGCGGCAUGCCUUACACAUGCAAGUCGAACGGCAGCACGGGAGCAAUCCUGGUGGCGAGUGGCGAACGGGUGAGUAAUACAUCGGAACGUGCCCAAUCGUGGGGGAUAACGCAGCGAAAGCUGUGCUAAUACCGCAUACGAUCUACGGAUGAAAGCAGGGGACCGCAAGGCCUUGCGCGUAUGUAGCUGCCGAUGGCAGAUUAGGUAGUUGGUGGGGUAAAGGCUCACCAAGCCAACCAUCUGUAGCUGGUCUGAGAGGACGACCAGCCACACUGGAACUGAGACACGGCCCAGACUCCUACGGGAGGCAGCAGUGGGGAAUUUUGGACAAGGGGCGAAAGCCUGAUCCAGCAAUGCCGCGUGCAGGAUGAAGGCCUUCGGGUUGUAAACUGCUUUUGUACGGAACGAAACGGAGUUUUCUAAUAAAGAGGGCUAAUGACGGUACCGUAAGAAUAAGCACCGGCUAACUACGUG